AUAUAUAUAUAUAUAUAUAUAUAUAUAUAUAUAUAUAUAUAAUUUUUUGGUUUCCCUUUUCUUUUCUUCCAAAGUUAUUAUGUCUGAUUUAUAGCCUUGCUUUCGUCUUUUGAAAUUCUAAAAUGGAGUUUGCAAAACUUCUGCAGGUACUAAACCUGGAGAAUAUGGACAAAACCAGGCAUUGGAAAAUCGUGGGCUGUAGCGCAUACACAGGGAAGGGGCUGCUUGAGGAAUUUGAUUGGUUGGUUCAGGACAUGAUGAUACCUUAGGAUCUAGUCAACAUUAAGCAAUAGAGUUAGGGUUUUUUUUAUUGGCCCUCUCAGAGAACUGAUUAAGGUCCAUUUGUACUGUUUUAUUAACUAUCUUAUUGUUGUGGAAUUUAGUCAAGCUGUGAAUUCGACAAAAAAAAAAAAAGUCAAGCUGUGAAACUUUUUGGGUCAAUAGUAUGGGAAGUUUGGGUCAAUAUUAGUGACUAAUCAGCCAUAAAAGCAAAUUAAAUAACAAAUAUUUUUUUGAUUUUACUAUUAAUUUGCAAUGAAAUAACGACCAAAUGCUCUUUUCUGAGGUGAUCAAAUAAUAAUGAAAUAGCGAUCAAAACAGUGAUUAUUUCGCGAUUAAAAUUUAGCGACUAAAAAAUGGUCGCUGAUUGGUCGCUAUUUUGUAAUACUUAAUUUGUUAUGACACUAAAUUAGCGACCAAAAAAUGGUCGCUAUUUUGUAAUACUUAAUUUGCCAUAACACCAAAUUAGCGACCAAAAAAUGGUCGCUGAUUGGUCGCUAUUUUAGCGACUAAUUUUCAGAUUGUCGCCAAAAUUUUAGCGACUGGCCAAACAACGACCAUUUCAUUUUGGUCGCUAAAUGGUCGCUAUUUCAUAAUAGCGACCAAAUUCUUCCUUUUAGCGACCAAAAUUUUGGUCGCUAAAUCACUAUUUUUUUGUAGUGAUCUAGUAAUGGUCAUGUAAGCGAUCUAUAUCCCUCUCAGUCAGUAUGGACGGGAUGUCACUCACUAGGAGAUUAUCAAUAUCAUGAACUGCCCUUAACGAAAUUAUAGGAGUUGGAGCAUGGAUAAGGCCGUUAGAGGAAGAGCCGGAGAUUAAACUUCCACCAGGAAAAGGGAAAGAAGAUGAAAAAGACCUAUUCAACUUUAAAAUAUGAAAAAAAAGCAGAAGUAGGAGUUACCUUUAGAAAGUGUAAGAGACUGAUAGUACGAGUCUUUUUAGAGCAAAAGAAAGCGAUUGAGAGCAGAAGUGGUGAUCAUAGAAGAAAGGGAGAUUUUAUACUAUUAUUUCGAUGGCUGGUCUAAAUAUAGCUCGAGAAGCAAGGCAAAGUGGCAUUUAUGAUUAGUACAAGCGAAGAGAUAUGGGUGCGGAGAAUCAAUUCAUACAUGCCACGUGUCCAAGACUAUGAGAACAACUAUAAUCCUCAAAUAUACCAUGAGCUGUCACCAUACGAUAGAGUCACAUGGCAAGACCUUAAUAAACUAUGAUACUCGAUCACACGAUUCUCACCUAUAGGAAAGAAGACCUGAUUAUCAUAAUAGUCAAUACUCAGAAUGACAAAAGACUCACCCUCUUAUGAAUCGAUCAAACUUUCAUGACAUAUAAGUUACCGUCAAAGGCUAGUGUCCACAGAUCCUCAUUACGCCUAUAGUCGCGGGAUCUCUUAUCCACUAGCCGGUAUCAAUCGGAUUUCCAAAAGAUUCACCAACUAACUCCAUCUUCUUAUAGUAUAAAAGAAAUGUAUACACAUAAUUCAAGGUACACAUUCUUACACAUUCUUACACACUCUUUUUAAACGCAAGCAAUCUAUUUACACACCCUUUCUGAUAAUUUAUUGAUUUGAGCGUUGGAGUGGCCACCCAUAAGUGCCAACCACCUCACUUUCUUUCUUUUACAAAGUAACCAAUUAUUUUCAAUUUCUUUUUAGCCACAUCAAGAAUCAUUUAAAAUAAUCAUAUUUAUAUUUAUUAUAAAUUACCUUUAUUUUGAUUAAUUAAAAAAUAAUAAAUAAAUUUACUCGUAUAUAAAAUUUUUAAUUUAAAGCUAUUUAUAAAAUAAAAUAAGAUUUAUGAAUUGUAAAAUUUGUAAUCUAUAGAUUAAAUUACAUCAAUCUCAUCUUAAAAUCAGAUAACUCAAUCCCUAUAUUUAUAUUGAUAAAUUAAUCAUUAAACUAAUUAGUAUACUCUUUAAAAUCUAGAACGUUUUAAUGUACUUUUAAAAUUAAUAAAUUAAUCAAUUAGAUUCUAUAUAUCACAUGAAUUAAAUAGUAUUUUUUUAUUUUUCAUUUAAAAAAUUAGAGUUUAACUUUUUGAAAUAUUAAUUUUUAAAAUAAAAAUUAUUAAUGAGAAAAUACUUUUAUAUGGAUUGUUAUUAUUUUUUUUUUAAAUUAAAACAUCGUUAAGUAUUAACAAGGUGUAAGAAUAUCCGCCCAACUCAUUUAAAAUAGCUUUACAUUAAUUUACAAUUAAAGCAAAAUAAGAACUAGAAGAGUACAAUUCAGUCAUGGCAUGAUACAAAGUGAGAGAAUCCGUUUUCAUGAUUAAUCCAGAGAAAUUAUGGCGUUUAAGCCAAUUAAAGAGCCACAAAGUAAGAGCUUUAACUAAAUCUACAUCUAAAAGUCAUGAGCCAGACUAUUGACUACCACUUAAAAAAUGACAUGUGGCAUCUCGAAGUACCCUACCCAAAUCAAUUCUUCGCCCAUUAACAAUCACAGAUGCAUCAAUAUUACAUUUUUAACAUAGGUGUAGAGGAACAAGUCCAACGCACUGGAUGUGAGAAAUACAUAAAUUAAAUGGACCAAAAUAUUACUAUAAUCAGUUUGAAAUAAUUUUUGACAAUUUAAAAUAAAUUUUAAUUGAAUUUGAGGCCUAAUUAAAUAUUAACAAUAUUUAUUGAGACUUAAUUAUAUAGAGCCAUUUUCGCCACUAUACAACUCGUUUUCAUUUCUAACUAUUGAGUUUAAUUUUAAGAUUUCAGAUGACAAAAAAAUCUUAAGGAAUUUCUUGGCAGCUUAUUAUGGUGAUAGCCCAUUCUAAUCUUGACCUUUGCAGGGAUGAUCUCCUUUGAUUAAAAAGAAAUAUUAAAUAAUCCAUUUUAAGCCUUGUUAAUACCAUUUUUGGAGAAAUUUAGGGAGAGCAAAAAGAAUACAGUAGAAAAAAACUUUAAGAAAAAAAAGUUAUUGGAAAAAAGUUUUUAAAAAUUUAUAAUUCAUAUUUAUAUCUAAAAUCUUAAAAUUUUAGAUAAUAAUACCAGAUCUUUUAAAUUUAUCAUAAUUAUAAUUAAAAUGACUAAAUUAAAUAUGAAAAAAUUAAUGGUAAACAUAAUGUCUAAAAUUUUUAUAUUAAUAAAAUAUAUAAUCAUUUAUUUUAAAUUUUAUAUUAAAAGUAAAUAUAUUUUAUAUUUAUUGUUAUAUAUUAUAUAUAAUAAAUAUUUAUUAUAAAUAAAUUUACGUUACAUAAAAUAUCACAUAUAUAUUAUAUAUUAAAGUAUUUUAUUAAAUAUUUAUACUCAAUAUUAUAAAUUAUAUGUAUAUUUUUCAUAAGUAAAAAUUUUUAAUUUAUAUCAAUAAUAUUAAAUAAAAUAAAAUAUUAUAUAUUUUUAUUUAUAAAACUUUAUUUUUUUAUAUAUUUUAUUUUAUAUAUUUUAUUUUUUAUAUUUUAUUUUUUAUUAAUUUAUAAUAUAUAUAUAUAUAUAUAUAUAAUAGGAGUAUAAAUAAACUAAAUUAUUGGAACUUGGCCUAUUUUUAUUUAAUUAGAUGGUGUGUAGAACACAAGCAGCAGCUAGUUUAAGUAAGGUGCAAGUAAGAAUCAAUAAAGUGUAAAUAAGAAUCGAUUAACUUAGAGCGAGGAGCAAGUCAGGUAGUUACACCCUGUAGCCAACAUGAGAUGGAAGUUGAAACAAAAGCACAACUACUUAUUUCUUCACUAAGCGAGUUAUUUUAUUUUUAAUAAAUGAAUAAGGCUGCUGAAAGUGAAGAACAUACAUAACCUUUUCCACUUAUCUAAAGACAUCGCCAUGAAGAAUCCCCAAAGUAGAAUACUUAUCCUUCGUGUUUACAAAAGGCAUAUUACUCUUUGCCACCGAUUCUUUUUUGUUUAUAAAUAGACGUGAUGAGGUUCCACAACACAACUCUCCAAUCCGGCACAAACCAUGAUUCUCUCAAAUAGAGAUCCAGCCGGCAACAUUCUUUAGUCUAAGGUUCAAAGUUUCAAUUUCAAUGUUCAUCAUUUCAAUUUCGUUGAUCAGUAAACAACUUUAUUUCAUUUCUAGUUUUCAAUUUAAGUCUUGCUCAAUUCAAUUUCAAGCUUCGGUCAUUUCAAUUUCAAAUUUAGUUUAAUUUCAAAAUUAGUUCAAUUUUUAUUUAUUUUUUUUAUUGGGAUUAAAAAUUGGGUGAGUAGAAUUUAAAACCCCUCAUAUUUACUCAGAUCUACUUAUCACCAGGUUAAACAUGUGAGUACCAAUUUUCAUUUCAUUUUAUAUUCCAAAAUUUAAUCCCGCUCUACAUUAAUUUACAUUUAACAAUCUAGUUUACAGUUACAUUAUUUUUCACACUAAUUUCAAUUACUAUUCCAAAGUUCAGUAAUUCUCUAUUAAUUUUUCUAAUUGCAUGCAAUAUUUUCCUACAUAAUUUUUUCUUGUAAUUUCAAUCUAACAAUUUAGGACCCAACCAUUUAUAAUUCCUAGAAUAGUUAUAGAACUUAUUUACAACCGACACAUGCCAGUAGAUUCAAGGUGAUUGAGGGAAAAUUUGAAUCUAUAUUUCCCAAUGAAUUAAAUUGAUACAAAUUCUGAUAUGCUUAAUUCAACAAGAAAUCAAUUUAAUACAAUAACAAUUACUUUAACCAACUAUUCGUCUUAAUGCUUAUAAAGAUGCUAAAAAUUGAUAGUCAUUGAUGCUGCUUGUGAUCUCCUUCGCAAGUAAGGAUUUGCAAAAAGAAAAGAAAAAGGUUUCUCGCUCAUCAGGUGUGGGCAAGUCCUUUGAUACUUAAAUUAUUAAUGACAUGUGUGAAAUAAAAAUAGAAUGAGUUAUAAUUAGAAAACAUAUCUGAAUGCUUAUUUGUCACACUCAAUUCCUAAUUUACAAAGAGGGAUGCGACAGGAUACACGAUAGUGUUUCUUAUGAAAAAAUGACAUAAUAACCUGUUGAAUUUUAGAAAAAAUAGAUAUAUGUGAAAAAUUAUUUCAUGUCAAAUAUUCAUAAUUUUUUCAUAAAUAAAUUUUUAUUCUUUUUGUAUGGAUAAAAAAUAAUAUACAUUUACUGCUCAAAAAAAUGUUACUAGCAAUCUAGGAUAGUAUAAAUGUAUAGACAUUCCUCCCAAAUUAAUUAAAAUUUAUAAAAUAAAUUCUAGUUGUCUCGACCUCCAUUAGACUAUGAAGUUAGUGAAGUGGAUGUAAGGCCAAACUAAAAAAUAAGACUGCUAGACUGGAUCAUUAAAAAGAAUAUGAACUAUUAGAAUCUGAGGAGUGAGUACAAUAUUUCAAUGAGCGGAUAAAUAAAUAGUAAAAGGAGAAUAGAUAAAAUUUUGGUGCUUAAUAGUAUCACAUAAUAUGCUAAAAUAAGUCAGUGAGAUAAAUAUAAUCAUUUUAAAUAAUACUGUCAAGCUGAAAUAUAAUAUGUCGAAAUCAUUUAUUUAAUAAUAUAAAAAAAUUUUAUGUCGAAAUCAUUUAUUCAAUAAUAUAAAAAAAUUUAUAAAGGUUUUGAUACACUCAUAACAUGCCUCUUGCAGAUAAUGCUGGCAUCAUUUAUUCAAUAAUAUAAAAAAAUUUAUAAAGGUUUUGAUACACUCAUAACAUGCCUCUUGCAGAUAAUGCUGGCAUCAUUUAUUCAAUAAUAUAAAAAAAUUUAUAAAGGUUUUGAUACACUCAUAACAUGCCUCUUGCAGAUAAUGCUGGCAUCUCAAGUGCAAUAAAUAAAACUACUGGCAGCCUGAGAUUAAUGUUGAUAUCUUGGACUCUAUGAUGAUAAUAUUAGCCCAAAAGCAAAUAAAAUUAUGUUGGUCAUGCACCUGUGCAGAGAUACUCCAAAAGGCGACCAUCCAACGUCCUAAAAACUAUAUCUAUAUCAAGUGUUGUCCUAGAGAUAGUAUAAAUAUAAGCUAAACUAAGAAUGAAUCACCUGUCAUAAGGUGUUAUCUAAUCGAUACAUAUACAAAAUGUAGUAAGCUAUUUGUUCAGUUGUAAUAUAAAUUUAUUUUCAUUUAUUUGAAAAGCAUAAAUUUACCAUCAUCCAUUUUCAUUUUUCUAAAAUAAAGUAUCUCAUAUAGAUAUACAUUUAAUAAAACAGCAGUGUAAUACCCGGCUAGACUCCGGUAUCGGAAUUCCUACCGUCCGGUGGAAUUUCGGAUGUCGGGAACUUCUAGAAGGGUAAAGACAUGUUUUAUAAAAUGUUUUCAUGAAUUUUAAUGGUUUUAAAGUAUGAAACUAAAUGAGUUUUUGCAUGAAAAGUCCUUGGAGGAAAACUCAGGUUCGGCCGCCGAAAGUCAAGUUCGGCCGCCGAACAUGCAUGCGUUUUGGAGGCACGUUAGGCCCCCGAAAGCAUGAGUUAGGGAAGUCCAGUUUCGGCCGCCGAAGGUCAAGUUCGGCCGCCGAACAUUUCAUGCAUGCGGAGGCAAGUUCGGCCCCCGAACGUGGCCUGGCCAGCNNNNNNNNNNNNNNNNNNNNNNNNNNNNNNNNNNNNNNNNNNNNNNNNNNNNNNNNNNNNNNNNNNNNNNNNNNNNNNNNNNNNNNNNNNNNNNNNNNNNNNNNNNNNNNNNNNNNNNNNNNNNNNNNNNNNNNNNNNNNNNNNNNNNNNNNNNNNNNNNNNNNNNNNNNNNNNNNNNNNNNNNNNNNNNNNNNNNNNNNNNNNNNNNNNNNNNNNNNNNNNNNNNNNNNNNNNNNNNNNNNNNNNNNNNNNNNNNNNNNNNNNNNNNNNNNNNNNNNNNNNNNNNNNNNNNNNNNNNNNNNNNNNNNNNNNNNNNNNNNNNNNNNNNNNNNNNNNNNNNNNNNNNNNNNNNNNNNNNNNNNNNNNNNNNNNNNNNNNNNNNNNNNNNNNNNNNNNNNNNNNNNNNNNNNNNNNNNNNNNNNNNNNNNNNNNNNNNNNNNNNNNNNNNNNNNNNNNNNNNNNNNNNNNNNNNNNNNNNNNNNNNNNNNNNNNNNNNNNNNNNNNNNNNNNNNNNNNNNNNNNNNNNNNNNNNNNNNNNNNNNNNNNNNNNNNNNNNNNNNNNNNNNNNNNNNNNNNNNNNNNNNNNNNNNNNNNNNNNNNNNNNNNNNNNNNNNNNNNNNNNNNNNNNNNNNNNNNNNNNNNNNNNNNNNNNNNNNNNNNNNNNNNNNNNNNNNNNNNNNNNNNNNNNNNNNNNNNNNNNNNNNNNNNNNNNNNNNNNNNNNNNNNNNNNNNNNNNNNNNNNNNNNNNNNNNNNNNNNNNNNNNNNNNNNNNNNNNNNNNNNNNNNNNNNNNNNNNNNNNNNNNNNNNNNNNNNNNNNNNNNNNNNNNNNNNNNNNNNNNNNNNNNNNNNNNNNNNNNNNNNNNNNNNNNNNNNNNNNNNNNNNNNNNNNNNNNNNNNNNNNNNNNNNNNNNNNNNNNNNNNNNNNNNNNNNNNNNNNNNNNNNNNNNNNNNNNNNNNNNNNNNNNNNNNNNNNNNNNNNNNNNNNNNNNNNNNNNNNNNNNNNNNNNNNNNNNNNNNNNNNNNNNNNNNNNNNNNNNNNNNNNNNNNNNNNNNNNNNNNNNNNNNNNNNNNNNNNNNNNNNNNNNNNNNNNNNNNNNNNNNNNNNNNNNNNNNNNNNNNNNNNNNNNNNNNNNNNNNNNNNNNNNNNNNNNNNNNNNNNNNNNNNNNNNNNNNNNNNNNNNNNNNNNNNNNNNNNNNNNNNNNNNNNNNNNNNNNNNNNNNNNNNNNNNNNNNNNNNNNCCGGGCAAUAACUCCGAGUACGAAGUCCUGUGGUGCCCAUAAUAGGGCCGGGCAAUACGAAGUCCUGUGGUGCCCAUAAUAGGGCCGGGCAUGGAGUUGAGGGAUUUUUGAAUCAGUCCAUCCGUGAUGUGAUUUAUUUGUGCAGUGACGCAUUUCAUGAUAGCAUGUUUUAAAUAUUCUUUUUACAGUUCUACUCACUGGGCAUCUAGCUCACCCCUCUCCCCUAACCCCCAGGUUUGCAGGUACGGGAUAGAUAGAGAAGGCAAGACAAGAAAGAGUCAUAUGUAUGUAAUAGUUAGUUUGUGGACAUGACAAUUGUAUUAUGAUGAUAUGUAAAAGAUUUCAGUAUGUAUGUAAUGAGGUUAUUGAGGAUAGAGUUGUGCUUGACCAUAAUGUAUAGUUAAUCCCUUUUGUAUAUACAUGAUCUUAUGUUAUGAUGUUUAUGUAAACUAACUCAACACAGGUUGUUUUGCCUUUAAGGCUUGAUGAGAUCCCAUAGAGGGAUUAUGUUAUGUAUAUGUUCAGAGUAUGCACAGGUUGAGUUAGUUGAAUGAUAGCAUGUAUGAAGAAAAGUUUAAAUUUUUAUGCAUGUUGUUGAUCAUGUAUGGGAUUAUACAGGUUUACAGGUUUUAUGUCAGGCUUGCUACGGGUCCCGGCGGCCUUAAGUCGACCCGGAUCCUAGCGCCGGUAGCGGUCCGGAUUUCCGGGGCGUUACAAGCAGUGUUAUAAAUUUAUCUACUCACCUGUACUAAAGUCAGAACAAAGUCUAAGUAGCCGGAGCAUCUAGAGCAAGAGUUGGAUCCUCUCCUAAAAUUAAAUAUAAUGCAUCAAGAACAGAAAUUUAAAUCCUAUAAUGCAAAUGUGAAAUGUGAAAUGCAUGAUUAAUUUUCAAAAAUUCUAAUAAAAAUUCGACAGCAUUCUAGCAUAAACUAGAUUUUUGCCUAAAUUUUCACAUGCUCAGCCAACUCAACAACACUCAAUAUUCAUCACAAAUAAUUUAAAAUGCCCAUUUGGAGUCUUCAACUACAUAUUCAUAAAAAUUUCACCAUUCUCCAUUUAUCUCUACUCUUUUAUUCUAACCAUAUAUUUCAUUUCCUUCAAUAUAUCCCCUUAAGUUCUUUCCAACAUUAAAUUCCAACUUUUCUAAUAUUAAAAUAUAACCCAAUAAUUAUUAUAGAUCUAAGAUUACUCAAUAUAUUUUUUUUCUAAGAAAAUAAACCUCAAAUCCAUAAUACAUUGGAAAAUCUUCCUUUCAAUAUCUUCCUCUUACAAAAAUUAGGGACCUAUUAUAACAAAAAUAACUCAUUGAAUAAAACCACUAAACAAAGAAUAAUAAACUCAUAAAUCAAUAUUUAACUCUCCAUAAUCUCAAAUCAUAAAAAUCACCAUGUAAUAUGCUAAGGAGACACAUAAAGCUUAAGAAAUUUACAAAGAAAAUGAGAAAUUACCUAUUAAAACUUAAUGCCCAAGAGAGAGAAAAGUGGGUUUUAGGUUAGAGUAUUUGAUUGAGAGAAACUAAAACAAAAUUUGAUUUGGGGCUUUGGUUUAAAUUAAAGGAUUAAAAUGAAAAAUGGAGAGGAGUUGAAGGAUUAAGAAAAGAAAUUUAUUUUUUUUUAAUCAGUAAAUGGGGAGGGGGGAGAGCUCUUUCGGGACUCUCCCGAAACCAGAGCAAAACGAGGAUUUUAAAUUCGCUUUACUUUUUUUCUUUUACUGGUCAGCUCCACACUUUUUUUUUUUUUGUCUUAUUUAGGGUUUUAUAAUUCUCUCCCCUUAAAAAAAAAAUUCGUCCUUGAAAUUUAUAUACCUGGUGGAGCAAACAAGUGUGGAAAUUGAAGCUGCAUAUCCUCCUCUCACUCACAAGUAACUUCUCUACUAGAGUGAUUGCUCCAACGAACUUUAAUUAGAGGAAUCACCUUGCUUCUUAAAACUUUGUCUUCUCUAGCUAUAAUCUCCACUGGUUCUUCGUCAUACAUUAAAUCUUCUCUCAGCUCAAUUGGUUGAUUCUUAAAAACAUGAGAAGGAUCACUUCUAUACCUCCUCAACAUGGACACAUGAAAAACAUUAUGAAUCUGUGAUAACUCUAGAGGUAAAGCUAAACGAUAAGCAACUACUCCAAUCCUUUCUAAUAUUUCAUAAGGCCCAAUAAACCGAGGACUCAACUUUCCACGCUUACCAAACCGUACAACCCCUUUCCAUAGAGAGAUCCUAAAAAAUACCUUGUCACCGACACUGUAUUCAAUCUCACUUCUUUUCAAAUCUUCAUCACUCUUUUUUCUGUCUUGUGCUACUUUUAGUCUACUCAUGAUUAUCUGAAUUUUAUUUGUAAUAUAUUACACCAUUUUUGGACCCUCUAGCUUUCUUUCUCCUGCUCAAACCAACACAUUAGCGUUAUGUAUCUUCUCCUAUAUAAGAAUUCAUAAGGAGCUAUGCCAAUAUUAGCAUAAUAACUAUUAUUGUAAGAGAACUCCAUUAAUUACACAUACUUAUCCCAACUUCUCUUGAAUUUCAUCACACAUGCUCUAUGCAUAUCCUUCAAAGUCUGGAUAGUUCUUUCUAACUGACCAUCUGUUUGAGGGUGAAAUGAAGUACUAAACUUUAACUUUGUACCUAAAGCAUUUUGUAAGCCAGGUCAAAACUACGAUGUGAACAUUGGAUCUCUAUCUGAAAUAAUAGGGACUGGGACAUCAUAGAGUCUUACAAUCUCAUUGACAUAGAUCUUUGCCAAUUUAUCUAGAGAGUAGUCCAUCCUAAUAGGAAAAAAGUGUGAUGAUUUGGUUAAUCUGUCAACUAUUAACCCACACUACAGCAUGUCCGCGUGAAGUACGAGGCAAACCACAAACAAAGUCCAUAGUAAUGUGCUUCCACUUCCAUUCUGGAAUGGGGAGUGGUUGCAGCUUCCCUAUUGGAUGUUGAUAUUGUGCUUUAAUUUGUUGGCAUACCAAAUAGGUUAAUAUAAAAUCAACUAUCUCUUUCUUUAUACCUGGCCACCAAUAAUUUUCAUUAGGAUCUUUAUAUAUCUUAGUGUUACUAGGAUGCAUAGAGUAUGCAAAACAAUAAACUUCUUCCAUGAUCUCUCUCCUCAAGCUUUCAACUGCAGGUACACAUAAUAUAUCACCAAACAUUAAGGUUCCAUCCUCCUUUAGCAAAAAGUCAAUAUGAGUUCCCUUUCUCACUUCAUCACUAAUCUUACUUAACUCUUCAUCUUGGUUUUGUGCUUCUCUAACCCUUUCCACUAAAAUUGGUCUAAAUUUUAGAGUUGCAAACAAUGCCUCUAAACCAUAUACUGCUAACUAUACUCUUAAGGAUCUAAUCUCCAGUAAUAAUGGAAGUUGAACUGUCUUGAAAUGAGUUAUAUUACUAAAAGAAUUAUGACUAAGGGCAUUAGCUACCACAUUAGCCUUGCAUGGAUUAUAUUCAAUGAUACAGUCAUAGUCCUUUAGCAAUUCAAUCCAUUGCCUUUGCCUCAUAUUCAACUCUUUUUGUGUGAGAAAAUACUUCAAACUCUUAUGGUAUGUAAAAAUCUGACAAGUCUCACAGUAAAGGUAAUGCCUCCAUGACUUUAAAGCAAACACCACUACAACUAACUCUAGAUCAUGGGUAGGGUAAUUUAGUUCAUGUGGUCUAAGUUGUCUAGAAGCAUAAGCUAUCACCUUCCUAUGUUGCAUUAAAAUAUAGCCUAAACCCUUGCGGGAAGCAUCACUAUACGCAAUAAACCCACCUACACCUGAAGGUAGAGUAAGGACUGGAGCUAAGGUGAGACAAGUCUUAGGCUUCUCAAAACUCUCUUGGCAUUCAUUUGCCCAUUCAAAACUUUGCAUUCUUCCUAAGCAGUUUAGUCAAUGGUGCUACAAUAAUGGAGAAAUCUUAGACAAAGCGGCGAUAGUUGAUAGAGCAUAAUUUAGACCAUUUUAUCAUGAUGAUAUUGAUGUUAAUUUAUACUUUUUCUCCCUAAUUUUUUAUUUUAAUCUUAUUCUGCAGAAAAUGGUGUAAAGAGAUAAUUUGGUGAAAAUGCCCCUAAAACUGCCUAAAAUGGAGCAAAGGAAAGCAAGCAUGCCAAGUGCAACUUGAAAGGAGCCAAAUAAGGAAAGUAAUUUGAAAUUCAGAUUAAAAUUUUUAAGAGAAUUCAAAAUUCAAAAUCAAGAUUCAGCUCAUUAAGGAAAGUGCUAAACAAGGAAAGUUGCAAACAAGGAAAGUUGCAAACAAGGAAAGUGCAGAGCAGUUUGAAAUUCAAAUCUUCAAGAAUCCAUUUUCCUUAUUUAAGAAGCCAAAUCUUUAAAAGAUGUACAUUCAAAUUUGAAAUUCAAAUUCAGCUUGUCAAAGAAGCCAAAGAAGACACACAUGCCACCUCAAGUCUUGCACAUUCAAAAUUCAAAAUUCAAAAGGAGGCUCCACCUCAUUAAUGCAAGGAUAUGGGUGGCAUGGGCAGCCUCUUGGCCAGCAACUUAACAACUUAGACAGCAAGUAAGGACCUAGGGCAACACUUUCAACUAUAAAAAGACACAUAAGGAGCCUCCCCAUGCUUUUUCUACUCUCCCUUGGACACACAUACGGGAUUGCAAGUGGCACAAUCUCUUCUUCUUCCUUUCUUUUAUUUUCUUAUUUUGUUUCAGCCAUGAGUGGCUGAAACCUUUUAUUCUAGUUGAAGAUUAGGUGAUACUUUGGUUGUUUUAUGGAUUGUGAGAUCUGAACAUAAGUUGUUUAUCUUUUGGUUAUUCAAUAUUUAUACAAUUUCAUGCUUGAUUCCAUUAUUGCUUUGUUAUUAUGAUCAAUGUGGCCACUUGAUUCUUGAUUGCAAGGUAAUAUAUUGUUAGUUUGAAUAAUUUUGAGUCUGUAAUUGCUUAGAUUGUUCAAACAUAAGAACACUUGGUGUAAAAACUAAGGAAGUUGCAUAAUCUAGCAAUAUCACCAUGCGUUUGGAUAGCUAGGAUUAAAUCUCUCUAUUUCUUAAUGCAAUUGACAGUUGUUUUGAUGCCUAAGGCCCAAGGACGUUCCUUGGCAACUUGUUGAUUAGUGAUUAAUUAGAGGACGUUCCCUAAUUGGUUUAUGAUUAAGGAGAGAUAUGGUGGUGAGAAGCGUCUUCCAUCUCCAUAACUAAUCUAUUGAAUCAAUCAAGGGAAACUAACUGUCAAUGAUCAAUCCCAACAACUGAAGUGGAUCCAAUUCUUCAACUAGAUCCUUCUCAUUAUUGAAAUCUCUUUAUUUUUAUUAUUCGCUUUCCUUUAUUGCUUUCAGCAUUAGAUCAAUUCAAUCAAUCUCAAACCCCCAUUUUUUACUUUUAUUGCACUUUAUUUUUAUUUUGCUUUCAGUUACUUUGCUUUCAGUUUACUUUCAGUGUGUUCUCUUGGUCUUGAUAAGAAAGAUAGGUAAGUUUUCAAUUCCCUGUGGAUUUGAUCCUUUCACCACUAUCUAUAGUUGUAAGAUUGUUAAUAACUAGAAAGGUUAUUUUUGACCGGCUUCGACAACCGACUGUCAAUAGUAUCCUGCCAAGCCCGAGAAACUCCUAAUCUUUAUAGCAUUAGUUGGAGGAUCCCAAUUGACUGCUACCUCAAUCUUCUUAGGAUCAAUAAAUACUCCAUCUGCUGAGAUAACAUGUUCUAGGAAGACCACCCUAUCAAGCCAAAACUCACAUUUACUCAACUUAGCAUACACUUGCUCCCUUCUUAGAGUUUUGCUUCUCAUAAUCUUCCUUACUAGGAGAAUACACCAAAAUAUCAUCAAUAAACAUAAUAAAAAAACCAUCUAAGAAAGGUUUGAACACCCUACUCAUGAGAUCCAUAAAAGUAGCAGGUGCAUUGGUUGACCCAAAAGGCAUAACAAAAAAACUCAUAAUGCCCAUAACAAGUUCUAAAAGUUGUCUUAGGUAUAUCGAACUCAUUUAUCUUCAACUGAUGACAAUCUUAGAGAACACCUUAUCUCCUUGAAGUUGAUUAAAGAGAUCAUCAAUGUGGGGCAUAGGAUACUUAUUCCUCAUUGUAAUUCGAUUUACUUGUCGAUAAUCAAUGCAUAAUCUCAAGGAACCAUUUUUCUUCUUCACAAACAGCAUAAGAGCUUCCUAAGGUAAAACACUCGGUCUUAUAAACCUUUAUCAAAAAACUCUUGAAAUUGUACUUUUAACUAAUUCAAUUCUACUAGACCCAUUCUAUAUGGUGCCAUAGAGAUAAGAGCUAUACCUAGGUUCAAAUCAACUGAAAACUCCAUCUCUCUAUCUGGAGGCAACCUAGGAAGCUUACCAAGGAAAGCAUCAAGAAACUCACAUACUAUUGGAAUAUCUUCCAACUUAUGUCCCUCUAAGCUACUGUCAGUCACAUGACUAGGUAUGUUUGACAACCCUUCAUAAGCAUUUUCCUAGCAAUCAUGGUAGAAAUUAUAAAAGAAGGAAGAAAACUUCUUUCUCCAUGAAAGAUGAACUUAGACCCUCUAGGACAAUCAAACAUCACCAACUUCUCAGAGCAAUCUACUAUGGCACAAUGGUAGGUAGCCAAUCCAUACCCAGGAUGGCAUCAAGAUCUUGAAGGUGUAAAGGAAUCAAAUCCACAAAAAACUCAUGAUCAUCCAACUUAACAACACAAUUCUUGUACAAAUGCUCACAUACAAUAGAAUUUCCAAUUGGAGUACCCACAACUAGUCAACAAUCUAAGGAUUUUAACUCUCUAUUAGUAUGCGUAGAGAAUGAUUGAGAUAUGAAGAAAUGUCUAGAACCAGGGUCUAUAAGAAUGUGUGCAUUCCUACCAAAGAUAGUCAACAUACCAAUUACCACUUAUAGAGAUGCUCGUGCCUCAUGUUGUGUCAUAGCAAAAACUCUUGCCUGAGUGCGGAGUCUAUCGGGUUGUGCUAUAGGCCUAGACUGAGAAGAUGAAGCUGCUCCACUAGCUUUGUUGACACUAGGUCUAGCUUGAAGUGUAACUCCACCAUAUAGUAGUGCCAUACCAUGUUGUGAAUUCUGAGGCACCACUAAUCCAUACCCAAAACCACUAUCUCUAGCUACAAGCAAAGUACAAUCCCUCUUGAUGUGUCCCAUGGCACCACACUCAAAGCAUCCUUUGUCAAACUUCCUACACGUCCCAUCAUAGUACUUGCCACAUGUAGCACACUCAAGAAAGUGUCUCUUCUUCUGCUUAAACCCAAAAUUAUAACCUUGUCCUUGUCUUUGCCUGUGUAUCCCAAAGGGACUACCUGUUGAUUGUGUUAUAGAACCUUGACUAGCUUGGGGUCAAGUAGAGUGCUACUCCAAACUCAUAUAUGAACUUUUUCCACUGCGACUAUAAUCAGCUCUAAACCGUGAUGAACUGCCCCCAUCUCUUAGCUAGUCUCUCUCUGAAUCCUUGUGAAGAACUCUGCCAUGCUUUUAACUUAUCUUUUGCUCAUAGUCUUUCUCUUCUUGCUUGACUUUCUCAACAUUUAAGGCUGCUUCAACUAUUUCUUCGAAAUUAUGGCCUCUGAACCAGGUCAUAGAUGACCAAAUGCUAACAUGUAAGCCUGCCUGAUUCUAUCACACUUAGUUUCUUUAGAAGGUAGGAUGUUUAAAACAAAGUAGUAGAGGUCUUCAAACAUGUCGAUAUAUUCCCUCACUAAAAGACUUUCCAAAAAUAACUUGAAAAAUGCAUCUUGCUUCCCUUUCCUGUAACUCUUUGAUAAAUAAUCAUGGUGAAAUUCGUGCACGAACGGAUCUCAAGUCACACCAACUCCAUACCUACGACGUAUCCCAUCAAACCAGCUAUCAGCUCUACUCUGAAGCAAUCCAUGUACAUUAUCCAUCUUAUCAACAUCAGUUAAAUUCAUCAAUUCAAACUUCUUAAUCACUCUCUUUAACCAUUUAUUUGCAACAUCGGCAUCUAAAGAGCCUUCAAAAUCAUAUGCUUUCAAACGUCUAGCACAAUCUAUUACCUCCCAUGGGUCUCUAGGCUUAGCAACGAUAGUCGCUGAGACUACUUGUACCACAAAAAUACCAAGAUCUAUAUUUAACUAAAAAGGAACUACUAGUGCUACAGGCAGAACAAGAGGUGCAACUACAAAUGCAAUAGGAGGUGCAAUUGCAUGUGUUGGAGGAGCUGGUGUGGUGCAGUCGAAUAUGCCCCUGAUAUAUUACCAUGAGAAACAAAAUCUUCGUGUUCAUCUCUGCUCUCAGGUAAGACAUGAUCUGCCACCCUUUUAAGAGGUGGAGGUGCAAAUGCAUGAUCCCUAUGAGGUUGGCUAAUAUCAACUAAUCUAACUCUAUGAAUACCACGGCCAUAGUUGGCACCACGGCCUCUACCACCUACUUUUGGCGGCAUUGUCCUACAAAUUAAAAAAAAUGAGAAAGGAGAUAUCAAGAUAUGAUAAAAGAAAUCGGCACAAGGAAGGUCUAUAAAAUCUAUAAACCUUUACUAUGAUACCAUUAAAAGUCACAUUUAGUCCCUAACCUAUAGAGAGAGAUGUGACAAGACACACUGAUAAAGUUUUUCCUAACAGUAUGCUAAUUAAUAUGAUAACCUGUUGAAUUUUAGAAGAUAUAGAUAUAUGUGGAAAAUGGCUUCAUGCCAAACAUUCAUAAUUUUGUCAUAAAUACAUUCCUAUCCUUUUUGUGAGGAUAAAAAAUAAUAUGCAUUUACUGCUCCAGAAAAUAUUACUAGCAGCUUAGGAAAGUAUAGAUGUAUAUACAUUCAUUCCAAAUUAAUUAAAGUUUACAAAAUGAAUUCUAGUUGGCCUAACCUCCACUAGACUAUGCCGCUGGUGAAGUGAAUGCAAGGACAAGCUUAAAAAUAAGACUGUUGGACUGGAUCAGCAAAAAGAAUCUGAAGUAUUAAAAUAUGAGAAGUGAGUAUAACUACUCAAUAACCAAAUAAAUAAAUAACAAAAGGUCAAUAGACAAGGUUUUGGUACGUAAUAAUACAGCAUAAUAUACUAAAAUAAGUCAACUGAAUAAAUAUAAUCAGUCGAAAUUAUUUAUUCAAUAAUAUAAAAAAAAAUCAUAAAUAGUUUGAUACACUCAUAACAUGUCUCUUAUAGAUAAUGCUGGCAUCUCAGAUAUGAUAAAUAGAACUGUUGAUAGCUUGAGAGCAAUGCUAGCAUCUUAGACUCUAUGAUAACAAUAUUGACUAAAAAUAAAUAAAAUUAUGUUGGUCAUAUACAUCUACAGAGCUACCCCCAAAGGACAACCACCCAAUAUACGCUCCAAAGACUAUAUAUAUGUCGAGCAUUGUCCUAAAGAUAGUAUAAAUAUAAGCUAAACUAAGAAUGAAUCACCUGUCAUCAAGGUGUUAUCUAAUCAAUGCAUAUACAAAGUGUAGUCGGUUAUUUAUUCAAUUAUAAUAUAAUUUUCUUUUCAUUUAUUUGAGGAGCAUAAAUUUACCAUUAUCCAUCCCUAUUUUUCUACAAUAAAAUAUCACAUAUAGAUAUAUAUUUAAUAAAAUACCAAUAUUAUAAAUUUAUCCACUCACCUAUACUAAAGACAGAAUAAAGUUUAGGUAGCUGGAGCACCCCUUAGGAUCUAGAGUAAGAAUUGGAUCAUCUACUAGAAUUAUAGAAAAUAUAAUGCAUCAAUGACAGAAAUUUAAAUCCUAGAAUGCAAAUGUGGAAUGUGAAAUGCAUGAUUAAUUUUCAAAAACUUUAACAAAAAUUCGGCAGCAUUUCGGCAUAAACUAAACUUUUCCCCAAAUUUUUACAUGCUCAACCAACUCAACAACACUUAAUAUCCAUCACAAGUAAUUUAAAAUGUCCAUUUGGAGCCUUCAACUGCAUAUUCAUAUAAAUUCCAUCAUUCUCCAUUUAUCUCUACUCUUCCCUUCAAACCAUAGUUUUCAUUUCCUUCAAUACAUCGACUUAACUUCUUUCCAACAUUAAAUUUCAACUUUUUCAAUAUUAAUAUACAACCCAAUAAUUAUCAUAUAUUCAAGAUUACUCAAUACAUUUUUUUUCUAACAAUACAAUAACUAUUUAAGAAAAUAAACAUCAAAUUCCUAACACAUGCUGAAAUCAUCCUUUCAAUAUCUUCCUUUUACAAAAAUUAGGGACCUAUUAUAACAAAAAUAACUUAUUGAACAAAAUCUCUAAACAAAAAAUAAUAAAUCCAAAAUCAACAUUUAACUCUCUAUAAUUUCAAAUCAUAAAAAUCACCAUAUAAUAUACUAAGAAGAUAUAUAAAGCUUAAGAAAUUUACAAAGAAAAUGAGAGAAAUUUACCUACUAAAGCUUGAUGCCUAAGAGAGAGGAAAAUGGAUUUUGGGUUAGGGUUUUUUAUUGAGAAAAGCUAAAAUAAAAAUUGAUUUGAGGCUUUGAUUUAGAUUGAAUGAUUAAACUGAAAAAUGGACAGGAGUUAAAGGAUUAAGAAAAGAAAUUUAAAUUUCUUUUUUAAUCAGCAAAUGAGCAGAGGAGGUGAUAGAGCAUAUUUUAGUCCACUUUAUCAUUAUGUUCUUAAUGUUUAUUUGCAUCUUUUCUGCCUAAUUUUGUGUUUUUAAUUAUGUUUUGCAGAUAUUAGGUGUAAAGAGACAUUUUAGAGAAAAUACCCUUAAAACUGCCUUAAAUGGAGCAAAGGAGAGCAAGCCUACCAAGUUGAAAUCAAGUGAAGCUAAAUAAGGAAAGUGGCAAAUAAGGAAAGAACAUUCAGCCAAAGCAAUUUGAAAUUCAAAUUUCAAAUCUCCAAGUAGCCACCUCCUUAUUCAAGAAGCCAAAUCUCAAGUUGCCAUAAAUGAAGAAGCCAAAUAAGGAAAGUAUUUUGAAUUUCAAAUCUUCAAGAUUCAUAUUCAAAUUUUGAAUUUCAAAAUUCAGCUUAUUAAGGAAGCUAAAUCCAAAGAUCACAUGCUUGCCACCUCAUGCCUUGCACAUUCAAAAUUCAAAUUGCAAAGGAAGGCUCGACCUUCCUUAUUUGUGCAUGGGCGGCAAGGAAGGUGUGAAGAAGCUUCUUGGGCAGUUUGGGCAGCCACCUAAGAUCAACAUAGGCAGCAAGUAAGGGCAAGGACCACAACUCUUGCACAAGCCACACAUGCCACACGCCUCUCCCUUCACGUAUGCAUGGGCGGCAAUACAAGAAGUUCAAGGGCAAUUUGGGCAGCCUCUUGAAGACACAUGGACAGUGAGGAAACCCUAGGACAGCAUCUGAAAAACAUAUUUAAGCUCUCCUUAAGCCAGCCGCCCAGGACCCCGAUCCCUUCUCUUCAAUUCGGCCAAGGCAAGGAAGGCUCUCCAAGGCUCCAUCUUCGGUUCUUCUUCAUCUUUUGCUCUUUUCUUUUUAUUUUCUGUUUUGUUUCAUCCAUGAGUGGCUGAAACCUUUAAUUCUAGUUGAGGAUUGAUUGAAACUAAGGUUGUUAUAUGGAUUGUGAGAUCUGAACACACAUUGUUUGUCUUUUGGUUAUUCAAUAUUCAUACAGUUCAUACUUGAAAUCUAUUAUUACUUUGUUAUUUUGAUCAAAUUGGCCACUUGAUUCUUGAUUGCAAGGUAAUUAAUUAUUAGUUUGGAUAAUUUUAAGUCCGUAAUUGCUUGAAUUAUUCAAACAUAAGAACACUUAGUGUAACAACUAAGGAAUUGUAUGAUCUAGCAACAUCUCAUGCAUUUGAGUAGCUAGGAUUGGAUCUCUCUCUUUCUUCAUGCAGUUAACAAUUGUUUGAUGCUUAAGGCCCAAGGACAUUCCUUAGCAAUCUGUUAAUUAGUAAUUAAUUAGAGAACGUUUCCUAAUUGGUUUAACCAUAAGGAGAGACAUGGUGGUGAGAAGCAUUUUCUAUCUUCAUAACUAAUAUAUUGAAUCAAUCAAAAGAACACAAGUUUCAAUGAUCAAUCCAAACAACCAAAGUGGAUCCAACUCUUUAACUAGACCUUUCUCAUAUUUGAUUUCUCUUUUAUUUACAUUAUUCGCUCAUUUAAUUGUUUUCAGUAGUUGCUAAUCAAAUCAAUCUCAAAACCCCACAUUUUACUUUUAUUGCACUUUAUUUUUAUUCCGCUUUCAAUUACUCGCUUUCAGUUGCACUUUCAGUUAAUUCUCUUGGUCUUGUUGAGAAAAAUAGAUAAGUUUUCAAUUCUCUAUGGAUUCGAUCCUUUACCACUAUCUGCAGUAGUAAUAUUAUUGAUAACCGAAAAGGUUAUUUUUUACCGGCUUCGAUAACCGCGAGUCAAAAAUUAGCGCCGCUGCCGGGGAAUUGAUUUAACUAAUCUGUUUUUCUUUCAUGACCAGAUCUGAACGUAGGAACACUCUGCCUUAUGAUCCAAAAAUUGAACGCACCAUCAGGAGACUAGGAAAGCAAGCAAUUCGGCCUAAAGAACCACCUGAAGCCGAACCUGCGCCUGAAGACCACUUCUGCGCAGAACCAUCAUCUGAAACACUUCCCACGCACCACCAAGUUCCUGAAAUGGCAGAAAACGUGGCACAACCUGCUAUCCACAAUGAACAUGCUGUCCAUGAAGAAAUUAUACACCAAAAUCCAGCCAUGAGAGCUCCAGUGCCAAGUGAAAGAACCAUGAGAGAAUUGGCAACACCUGUAGGUGAUCAAUCACCUCUUUGCAUCACCUAUCCACCUCUGACAGUUCCCUUUGAACUGAAAAUAGAUUUGAUUCAUCUUCUCUCUAAGUUUAGAGGUCUAGAAAUGAAAGUCCACAUAAGCACUUGAAAGAGUUCAAUAUUAUCUACUCAUUUAUGAGACCUCAAGAUAUUUCUAAAGAUCAUGUUAAGUUAAGAGCUUUUUGAUAGAGCAUAUUUUAGCCCAAUUUAUCCUUAUGUUCUUGAUGUUUAUUUACACCUAUUCUACCUAAUUUUGUGGUUUUAAAUAUUUUUUGCAAGUAUUAGGUGUAAAGAAGCAAUUUGGAGAAAAUGCUCUUUAAAAUACCAAAAAGUGCCAAAAUUGAAAAAGCCACCUUCGACAGCUCUUUCGGCGGCCGAACCUUCGGUCCAGAGGCGAAACUCAACCUCCUUCGGAAGCACUUUGGGGAGCCAAAACUGCCAGUCAUCUUCGGCGGCACUUUCGGCGGCCGAACCUUCACUCCAGAGACGAAAGUCACCUUCCUUCGGCGGCACCUUCGGUCGCCGAACCUUGCGUUCAGAGCCGAAAGUCCUGCCUCCGAAACUUAACUUAGGCGGCCGAAAGUGCCCCCGAACAGCCUCCUUCCUAUUCAAUGAGCCAAAUCUUGGAGAUCACAUGUUUCCUACAUAGUGCCAUGCUCAUUCAAAAUUCAAAUCAAGGCUCCACCUUCCUCAUUAGUGCAUAAAUCUUCUUGGACACACCAUGAACAGCAAUUAAAGGACCAAAAUGCCCAACCCUUGCCCUCACAUGCACACAUAAGGCCAAGGGCACUUUGGGCAAAUCUCUAAAAGACCUCUCAAGAUCUAUUUAAAGGCUUCAAGAAGAUCAAGAACUCAUCAUCUCCCAUCAAGGAUUGAUCAAGAAUUCGGCAAGGCUUCUCCUAGGCCUCCUCCACCUUAGUUCUUCAUCUUUUUGCUUUCUUUUCUUUGAUUUUCUGUUUUGGUUCAGCCAUGAGUGGCUAAAACCCCUUACUCUAGUUGAAGUUUGGUUGAAACUAAGGUUGUUUAAAGGGUUGUGAGAUCUGAACAUAAAGUGUUUGCUUUUGAUUUAUUCAAUAUUCAUGCAAUUGUGCUUAAUUCUAAGAUUGCUUUGUUGUUUUGAUCAAAUUGGCCACUUGAUUCUUGAUUGCAAAGUUAAUUGAUUGUUGGAUUAGGAUAUUUGUUAGUCCGUAAUUGCUGAAAAUAUUCUGUCCAUAGAACACUUAGUGUAAAAACCCAAGAAAUUGUAUGAUCUAGCAACAUCUUAUGCGUUUGAGUAGCUAGGGUUUGGAUCUUUCUUGUUCUUCAUGCAAUUGGCAAUUGUUUUGAUGCCUUUGGCCCAAGGAAGUUCCUUGGCAAUUUGUUGAUUAGUAAUUGGUUAGAGGACGUUCCCUAAUCAGUUUGUUCAUAAGGAAAGACAUGGUAGUGAGAAGCGUCUUCCACCCCCAUAACCAACCUAUUGAAUCAAUCAAGAUAACCAUGUUUCAAUGAUCAACCCAAACAACCAAAGUGGAUCCAUAUCUUCAACUAGACUUCUCUCAUAUUGAUUUCUUCUUUUAUUUUAAUUACUUGCUGUUUUAAUUGCUUUCAAUAGUCGUUAGACAAAUCAAUCUCAAAACCCCCUUUUUACUUUCCUUGCACUUUACUUUUGUUCUAUUUGCGAUUACUUACUUUCUACUGUGUUUUCAAUUAGUUUCCUUAGUCUUGAUUGAGAAAAAAUAAAUAGGUAAUCAAUUCUCUGUGGAUUCGAUCCUUCACCACUAUCUACAGUUGUAAAUUGUUGAUAACCAAGAAGGUUAUUUUUGACCGGCUUCGACAACCGACAGUCAAAAAUUGGCGCCGUUGCCGGGAAAUUGAUCUCACUUGUUUAUUUAUUUUUCUUUCAUGACCAGGUCUGAGCAUAGGGACACUCUGCCCUUUAAUCCAGAAAUUGAACGCACCCUCAGAAGGCUAGGAAAGCAAGCCUCUACGCCUGAAGAACAUUCUGCCCAACCUUCGGCCGCCGAAAGUCCUUCUCUCCAGCAACCGAACUUUGCACCGAUGGCAGAACCUCAAGCACCAGCUGCUGCCCCCAAUGGACAAGCUGUCCAGAAUCAAAUAGUUCAAGAAAAUCCAGCAAUAAGACCUCAAGUGCCAAGGGAAAGAACUAUGAGAGAGUUAGCAACACCUAUAGGUGAUCAAGCGCCUCUUUGCAUCACCUAUCCACCUCUUACAGUUCCCUUUGAACUCAAGACAGGUUUGAUACAUCUACUCCCUAAAUUUGGAGAUAGAGAGAAUGAAAAUCCACACAAGCACUUAAAAGAAUUUAGUAUUGUUUGUUCAUCCGUGAGACCUCAAGGGAUCUCUGAAGAUCAUGUUAAAUUGAGAGCUUUUCCCUUUUCAUUAGAUGACUAUGCUAAGGAUUGGUUAUUUUAUUUGCCACCUGGAUCUAUAACUUCUUGGGAUGAUAUGGUCCAAACCUUCUUGGACAAGUACUUCCCACCAUCUAAAUCAAUAGGCAUAAUAAGAGAAAUCACUAGCAUACGACAAAAACAAAAUGAGGACUUAUAUACAGUUCUUCUAUGGAGGAUUGAUUCCAUCAGAAAUGAAACUCAUAAAUGUAGCUUUUGGAGGAUCCAUCCUAGACAAGUCACCAAGGGAGAUGAAAGAGUUGAUAUCUACUCUUGCAGCCUCAUCUAGGCAGUAUGGAGAAGAGAGGCAACUACAAAGGGCAAAUGAGGUAAGUUUUCCCACUAUUUCUGAACUAACAUCUGUUAUGAAAAAUAUUAUCAUAGAUGUUGUGCAACAGAUGCAAACACCCCAGCCACCUAGGCCAUGUGGGAUUUGCUCAUAUGUAGGACACCCGACUGAUCAAUGUCCUACACUCUAAGAAGACCACUAGCAAGCAAAUGCCAUUGGAGGGUACCAUAACCAGCCUAGACAUGAUCCGUACUCAAACACUUACAAUCCUGGCUGGAGAGACCAUCCCAAUUUCAGCUAUGGAAGGGCCAACAAUACCCAGAACUACCAAAGAAAUCAAGCCCAACCAGCACCUCAGAACUCUAAUCCGAGCCUUGAGAAGAUGAUGGAGACACUGAUAAGCACCAUGCAAGGCGUGCGACAAGACCUAGGACAAAUGGCCACCUCUAUAAGCUAACUGCAAACCCAAGGCAAACUACCUUCUCAAACUGAAACUAACCCAAGACAGAAUGUCAGUGCUAUUACUUUGAGAAGUGGCAAAGAGCUUCAAGAUGCUAGUCAUGAGUAAGAGAAGGAAGUUGCACCAAAGACACCUCCUGCGCAAGAACCAAUGCAACCUGAAGCCUCUCCAUCACAAUCUGAACCACCUCCUGCGCACAAAACUGAUCCAAAAGUAAGUUUUCACAUUCCACUUCCUUUUCCAAAAAGAUUUGAAAGAACGCAAAAAGAAAAAGAAGAAAAGGAGAUCCUUGAGACUUUCAGAAAAGUGGAAAUCAACAUACCACUGCUAGAUGCUGUCAAGCAGAUCCCCAGGUAUGCAAAAUUUCUGAAAGAGCUUUGCACCAAUAGAAGAAAGCUUGCUAAAAGAGAAAAAGUAAGUGUAGGUGAGGUAGUUACUACUGUUAUUAAAAGAGAACUCCCUACCAAAUGCAAGGACAAAGGUAUGUUUGCUAUCUCUUGCAAAAUUGGUAAUGUUGGUAUCAAGAAAGCCAUGUGUGAUUUAGGUGCAUCUAUCAAUGUCAUGCCUCUCUCCAUCUAUAGAUCUCUAAAUGCAUGUGCACUUAAGGAAACAAGAGUUGUGAUAUAGCUAGCUGAUAGAUCUGUGGUAUAUCCCAUAGGUGUUCUAGAAGAUGUCUUAGUCCAAGUAGAUGAACUUGUCUUUCCUGCUGAUUUUUAUGUAAUUGAUACUAAGGAAGAUAGUUGCAAUACUAGUUCUGACAUUCUUCUUGGACGUCCUUUCUUGAGUACCGCUAGGACUAAAAUCGAUGUGCAUGAUGGUACUCUUACCAUGGAAUUUGAAGGGAAAGUCAUUAAGUACAAUGUCUAUGAUGCUAUGAAAUACCCACAUGAUAUGUCCCCAGUUUAUGGUCUUGAUAUUAUUGAUUGUUUAAGCCAAGAUGUGUUUAAUGAAAAUCAAGAUUGUAUUUUGGAGGAUGAUCUUUGCAGGAUUGAAAACCUGAAACUGAAAGAAACCAUUUGCAGCAUUCAGCAAGUAGAGGUAAAGCAGACAGAAGGCAUUCGGCCGCCGAACACAGCCCACCUUCGGCCGCCGAACCCCGCUGCUCUUCAGACACCAGAUUCUGUUGCACCACUUUUGCAACACAUUGCGCAGAAGAAAGACGUCCUUCAGCCGCCGAACCCAAGCGAUUUUCAGAAGUCGAAUCCAUCGCCACAGUUCACUUCGCAAAGUGAAGACCUUCGGCCGCCGAACUCAGACACUUUUCGGCCGCCGAACCUCUCACAGCAGCUUCCAUCACAAGCAAACUCUUCCAUCCCACCUCCUUUGCAGUCAAGACCAGAAUAGUACCUUCCAGAUUCUGAAGAGAGUAAGCACGAUCUCCUUGAAAAAAUCUUUCUUGCUCAAUCUGAUGAGCCAUGGUAAGCAGAUAUGGUAAACUACUUGGCCACAGGUAACUUACCUUCUGACAUGCCAAAGCACACUAAAGAUAAGAUAAAAAAAAGAUGCCAAAUACUAUGUUUGGAAUGAGCCAUAUUUGUGGAAAUAUUGUGCUGACCAAAUGAUAAGGAAAUGCAUUCCUGAUCAAGAAAUAGCCUCUGUACUCACUUUUUAUCAUUCAUAUAGUUGUGGAGGACACUUUGAUCCAAGGAAAACUGCUCAUAAGAUACUUGAAAGUGGCCUAUUUUGGCCCAUAAUAUUUCGAGAUGCCUUUUUGUUUUGCAGGUCAUGUGCUAGGUGUCAACAAACUGGAAAUCUGAGUAGAAGAAAUCAAAUGCCACAUAACCCCAUCAUGGUCUGUGAGGUAUUUGAUGUUUGGGGCAUAGACUUCAUGGGCCCAUUCCCACCAUCCUUUGGAUACACUUAUAUCAUCCUUGCAGUGGAUUAUGUGUCCAAAUGGGUGGAAGCUAGAGCAACUAAGACCGAUGAUGCCAAAGCAGUAGUAAACUUUGUGAAGACCAACAUCUUUGCCAGACAUGGAGUAUCAAAAGCAAUCAUCAGUGAUAGAGGGACCCAUUUUUGCAAUAGGGUGGUGGAAAGCCUUCUCAGAAAACACAAUGUCAUACAUAGGAUAUCCACAGCCUACCACCCUCAAACAAAUGGGCAAGUUGAAGUCUCCAAUAGAGAAAUCAAAGCCAUCCUUGAAAAGACAGUCUCCCCAAACCGAAAGGAUUGGAGUACAAGGUUAGAAGAUGCUCUAUGGGCCUACAGAAUAGCCUACAAGACCCCCAUAGUAUGUCUCCCUACAGAUUGGUCUAUGGGAAAGCUUGUCACCUUCCAGUUGAACUUGAGCACAAAGCCCAUUGGGCUGUGAAGAAUUGCAACUUGGACCUCAAAGAAGCUGGCCACCAUCGCAAGUUGCAACUGCAAGAUCUAGAGGAAAUAAGACGAGAUGCAUAUGAGAAUUCAUGGAACUACAAAACAAAAACCAAAGCCUCACAUGACAAUCAUCUUUCAAGAAAAUAAUUUGAGGCUGGUGAUAAAGUCUUACUCUUUGACUCUCAUUUGAAGUUGUUUCCAGGGAAGCUACGGUCUAGGUGGAUUGGACCAUUCAUUGUAUAACAUUGAUAGAGCAUAAUUUAGUCCAUUUUAUAUUAAUAUUAUUAAUAAAUAUUUACAUGAUUUCUGCCUAAUUUAGUGUUUUCAAUAUUAUUUUGCAGAAAAUAGUGUAAAAGGACAAUUUGGAGAAAAUCUCCCUAAAACUGCCUUAUUAGAGCAAAGAAUGAGGAAAGGAUUUUGAAGCUUAAAUAUUCAAGUUUCUGGGCCCACUUAUGGAUCAGCCCAUUCCCACACCACUCAGCCCAAACGCUUCACGGGACAACUCCAGCACAUGGGCCCGCCAUUGCACCUCAGCAAAUCUCCCGCACCUUCACGCACUUGGGCACCCCCUUUUCCUGCAAAGAACCAAGCGUGCAAGUCCACCAUUCCCUCCAGUGGACCAGUCCACGCACAAUCAAGCACAUGGACAAAGCCCAGCGCAUGGACCCGCCGAAGCUCCUCUCUGCACGUGGACCGCUUCAUCCACUCCAGCACCCAACACUCACGCGGCCCGCUUCUCCAAAUUCACUUCACGUGGACCACAUUCCCACUUCACCCAUUCUUGCACAAUGGCCCAACUUCACCACUCCAGCACAUGGUCCCGCCAAGGCAUAUGGACCAAGCAGCGGACAGCACAUGGACCUUUCACUUGCAACAGGGCCCGCCACUCAUGCCCCAUUUCAACCCACGCAUAUGGACCGCACAGCGUGGGCCCGCGCUUCAUCAUUGUCUUCACGUGGACCAUGGACCAUGGACCAGCGCUUUUUCUCAAAGUUCACGCGAACCACUCACACUAAUUCUUCCACUUCAGCGCUCUCACACGUGGACGGCAAAUUCCCAAUUAGGGCGUCUCUCCAGCUCUAUUUAAAGAGCUUUAAGCAGCCAGAAAGAGAAUUCAAUUCUCACUCGGCAAUUUCGGUGCUCGGCGCAAAAGGCAGAAUCUCCAUCGGUUUUUUUCCUUUUCUUUUCCUUUUAAUUUUCUGUUUUUAAUUCAGCCAAUGAGUGACUGAUUUCUUUAAUUCUAGUUGAGGAUUGGUUGAAACUAAGGUUGUUUAAUGGAUUGUGAGAUCUGAACAUAAAUUAUUGUCUUUGGUUUUGUUCAAUAUUUAUGCAAUUAAUGCUUUAAUUAUAUGAUUACUUUGUUGUUUUGAUCAAAUUGGCCACUUGAUNNNNNNNNNNNNNNNNNNNNNNNNNNNNNNNNNNNNNNNNNNNNNNNNNNNNNNNNNNNNNNNNNNNNNNNNNNNNNNNNNNNNNNNNNNNNNNNNNNNNNNNNNNNNNNNNNNNNNNNNNNNNNNNNNNNNNNNNNNNNNNNNNNNNNNNNNCAAACCCCCCCAUUUUACUUUUAUUGCAAUUUAUUUUUAUUCUGUUUCCAGUUUAUCUCAUUUGAUCCCACUUUCAGUCUUUUAUCUCAUCUUUAAUUUAUUAUUGUUUUAGUUUAUUUUAUUGGUCUUGUUAAGAAAAAUAAAUAGGUAAUCAAUUCUCUGUGGAUUCGAUCCUUUCACCAAUAUCUGCAGUUGUAAAAUUGUUGAUAACCAGAAAGGUUAUUUUUGACCGGCCUCGAAAACCGCGAGUCAAACAUGCCUACCCACAUGGAGCUGUAGACAUCAAAAGCAUAGAAACUGGAAAAAUCUUCAAAGUAAAUGGACAUCGUCUGAAGCCAUACUUUGAAGGAUUCGCAGUACAAGUAGUGGAAGAAAUUCCACUACAACAGCAUUCUGCCUAAAGAAAUCAUGCCAUGCACACCACACCCCAGGGGAGUAUUCAAAUUCCUUUGUUCUCUUUUUUCUUUUACAUUGAGGACAAUGCAUGAUUUAAGUGUGGGGGUGCAUAUCUUCUUCUUUCUUCUUCCCUUCUCUUCAUCUUCUUCCUUUAUCUUCUGCGAUUUUACAUGCUUUCAGAUUGCAAAAUUUUUUUUUUCUCCUUUCAGUCUUGCAUUUCUUUCAGUUAAUUAGCCACAGUUGAAUUUUAAUUUGUUUAACCUUUCAAUAAAACACACACAACCACAACCUUCUUCUUCUUUUUUUGUUUUGCUCUACUCAAACUGAUGAACUAUGUUAGAUGAGUCCUUCUUUCCAUGACUCCAUUGAUGUGAUAACUCUUUAAACUUAUGUUGAAUCAAUUGCAGUGAGCUAUAUUCAUGUUUGAGAAUUGCCUUUUGAAUUGAAUCUUUGAGUUUGCUAUGAUGAAAAAUAUAUUGAUGACCCUCAAUUGAUUGAGAAUAAAUUGAAAUUGUGUGAAUGAACCUAAUGUGACUUGAUUUAGCAAUUGGUGUUGAUUUGCCCAAAUCAUUGAAAGAAAGAAAAUUCAGCAAAGGCAAAGACCUCAAAAGCACAAAUUCAAAAACUGUUCCAAUGGUCAAAAGACUAGGAACAAGGCUAGUAGCCACUUGGAUAGGUGACCAACUGAAAAAUAUAAACCAUGACAUCAAAAAUAGGUUGGUGACCUUUCCAAGCAAAAUCAAAGUGCAAAAGCCUGAAUAAAGUACUUCAAGGUAAGGGCAAGUCAAUCCAAAAGCUAGAAAAAGUCUUAACAAAUUAAUGUGCAUGUCUCUCUUGAGGAAAACAAAUCUUAGCCAUGGUAAGCAAAGGGAAACAAGGAAAGGGGGUAAGUAAUCUUCAUGCACAUAUUCUUCACUGCAAUGCUUCAAAAUAAGUGUCUAGAGUAUGAGCUAAAGUGGUAAUAAGGAUCUAGAGGAAGAAAACUUAUUUGACUAUGUUUAUUUGCUUGAGGACAAGCAAAAGCUUAAGUGUGGGGGUAUUUGAUAGAGCAUAUUUUAGCCCAAUUUAUCCUCAUGUUCUUGAUGUUUAUUUACACCUAUUCUACCUAAUUUUUUGGUUUUCAACAUGUUUUGCAAGUAUUAGGUGUAAAGAAGCAAUUUGGAGAAAAUGCUCUUAAAAAUACCAAAAAGUGCCAAAAUUAGAAAAGCCAACUUCGGCAGCUCUUUCGGCGGCCGAACCUUCGGUCCAGAGGCAAAACUCAACCUCCUUUGGAAGCACUUUCGGGAGCCAAAUUUGCCAGUCAUCUUCGGCGGCACUUUCGGCGCCCGAACCUUCACUCCAGAGACGAAAGUCACCUUCCUUCGGCGGCACCUUCGGCCGCCGAACCUUGCGUCCAGAGCCGAAAGUCCUGCCUCUGAAACUUAACUUAGGCGGCCGAAAGUGCCCCCGAACAGCCUCCUUCCUAUUCAAUGAGCCAAAUCUUGGAGAUCACAUGUUUCCUACAUAGUGCCAUGCUCAUUCAAAAUUCAAAUCAAGGCUCCACCUUCCUCAUUAGUGUAUAAAUCUUCUUGGACACACCAUGGACAGCAAUUAAAGGACCAAAAUGCCCAACCCUUGCCCUCACAUGCACACAUAAGGCCAAGGGCACUUUGGGCAAAUCUCUAAAAGAUGCAUGGACAGCCACCAAACCCUAAGGAGCCUCUCAAGAUCUAUUUAAAGGCUUCAAGAAGAUCAAGAACUCAUCAUCUCCCAUCAAGGAUUGAUCAAGAAUUCGGCAAGGCUUCUCCUAGGCCUCCUCCACCUUAGUUCUUCAUCUUUUUGCUUUCUUUUCUUUGAUUUUCUGUUUUGGUUCAGCGAUGAGUGGCUGAAACCCCUUACUCUAGUUGAAGUUUGGUUGAAACUAAGGUUGUUUAAAGGGUUGUGGGAUCUGAACAUAAAGUGUUUGCUUUUGAUUUAUUCAAUAUUCAUGCAAUUGUGCUUAAUUCUAAGAUUGCUUUGUUGUUUUGAUCAAAUUGGCCACUUGAUUAUUGAUUGCAAAGUUAAUUGAUUGUUGGAUUAGGAUAUUUGUUAGUCCGUAAUUGCUGGAAAUAUUCUGUCCAUAGAACACUUGGUAUAAAAACCCAAGAAAUUGUAUGAUCUAGCAACAUCUCAUGCGUUUGAGUAGCUAGGGUUUGGAUCUUUCUUGUUCUUCAUGCAAUUGGCAAUUGUUUUGAUGCCUUUGGCCCAAGGACGUUCCUUGGCAAUUUGUUGAUUAGUAAUUGGUUAGAGGACGUUCCCUAAUCAGUUUGUUCAUAAGGAAAGACAUGGUAGUGAGAAGCGUCUUCCACCUCCAUAACCAACCUAUUGAAUCAAUCAAGAUAACCAUGUUUCAAUGAUCAACCCAAACAACCAUAGUGGAUCUAUAUCUUCAACUAGACUUCUCUCAUAUUGAUUUCUUCUUUUAUUUUAAUUACUUGCUAUUUUAAUUGCUUUCAAUAGUCGUUAGACAAAUCAAUCUCAAAACCCCCUUUUUACUUUCCUUACACUUUACUUUUGUUCUAUUUGCGAUUACUUAUUUUCUACUGUGUUUUCAAUUAGUUUCCUUGGUCUUGAUUGAGAAAAAAUAAAUAGGUAAUCAAUUCUCUGUGGAUUCGAUCCUUCACCACUAUCUACAGUUGUAAAUUGUUGAUAACCAAGAAGGUUAUUUUUGACCGGCUUCGACAACCGACAGUCACUUUUCCUUUUUCACUUGAUGCUUAUGCUAAGGAUUGGCUAUUUUACUUACCACCUGGAUCUAUUACUUCUUGGGAUGACAUGGUAAUAACCUUCUUAAAUAAAUAUUUCCCAACGCAUAAGGCUAUUGUGUAAGAAGAGAAAUCUCAAGUAUUAGACAGAAACCAUUUGAGGAUUUAUAUGAUUAUUGGGAAAGAUUUAAAAGGUUGUAUACAGGUUGUCCUCAACAUGAGAUUUCAGAUAAGGCACUCAUAGAAUUCUUCUAUGGAGGCCUACUUUCUUCAGAAAGGAGAUUCAUUGAUGUAGCUUAUAGAGGAUCCAUUACAGAAAAGACAUCUAGGGAGAUGAGAGAGUUGAUCUCAACACUUGCAGUCUCAUCUAGACAAUAUGGAGAAGAAAAGCAACUGCAGAGAGAAGCCAAUGAGGUAAGUACGUCUACUCUUUCCUCUCAGAUUUCAUCACUAACCUCUGCCAUGACAAAUUUCUUCAUAGGCUAACCUCAACAAGCCCAGCCACCUAGGCCAUGUGGGAUUUGUGCAUAUGUAGGACAUCCAACUGAUCAAUAUCCUACCCUUCAAGAAGACAACCAGCAAGUCAAUGCCAUUGGAGGAUACAACAACCAGCCUAGACAUGAUCCAUAUUCUAACACAUACAACCCAGGCUGGAGAGACCAUCCAAAUAUGAGCUAUGGAAGGGCUAACAACUAUCAGAAUUACCAAAGGAAUCAAGCCCAACCAGCACCUUCAAGUUCCAACCAGCACCUUGAAAAGAUGAUGGAGACACUUGCAAACUCUGUGCAAGCUCUCCAACAACAGGUGGGACAGAUAGCCACAUCAGUGAACAAGCUUGAAUCACAAGGUAAGCUCCCUUCUCAAACUGAAAUCAAUCCUAGACAGAAUGUGAGUGCCGUUACUUUGAGAAGUGGGAAAGAGCUUCAAGAUGCGAGAUAUGAGGAAGAGAAGCAAGUUGCACAAGAGCAUGCGCAAACUGAAACCAUUCCUGCACACCACUUGCAUGAGCUAGCCAGUCGAGCUCCAUCUGAAAUGCCUCCUGCGUAGAGAGCUGAUCACUAGGUAUGUUUUUAGAUUCCACCUCCUUUUUCAAAAAGAUUUGAAAGAACUCAGAAAUAAAAAGAAGAAAAGGAGAUCCUUGAGACUUUCAGAAAGGUAGAAAUCAACAUACCUCUGUUAGAUGCUGUUAAGAAGAUUCCUAGGUAUGCAAAAUUUCUGAAAGAACUGUGUACCAAUAGAAGAAAGCUAGCUGAAAGAGAGAAAGUAAAUGUAGGUGAAGUAGUUACUGCUGUGAUUAAAAGAGAACUCCCAACUAAAUGUAAAGAUAAAGGCAUGUUUGCUAUUUCUUGUAAGAUUGGGAAUGUUGGGAUUAAGAAAGCCAUGUGUGAUCUUGGUGCAUCCAUAAAUGUUAUGCCUCUUUCCAUCUAUAAUUCUUGAAAUGCAUGUGCACUGAAAGAGACAAAAAUUGUGAUACAAUUAGCUGAUAGAUCUGUGGUAUAUCCCAUAGGUAUUCUAGAAGAUGUGUUAGUUCAAGUAGAUGAACUUGUCUUUCCUACAUAUUUUUAUGUGAUUGAUACUAAGGAAGACAGUUGCAAUUCUAGUUCUGACAUCCUUCUUGGACGUCCUUUCUUGAGUAUUGCUAGAACUAAGAUUGAUGUGCAUGAUGGUACAUUGACUAUGGAGUUUGAAGGGAAAGUCAUUAAAUAUAAUGUUUAUGAUGCUAUGAAAUAUCCACAUGAUAUGUCCCCUGUUUAUGGUCUUGAUAUUGUUGACUGCUUGAGCCAGGAAAUUUUUUAUAAAAAUCAAGAUGAUUGACUCGCAGUUGUCGAAGCCGGUAAAAAAUAACCUUUCUGGUUAUCAACAAUUUACAACUGUAGAUAGUGGUGAAAGGAUCGAAUCCACAGGGAAUUGAGAACUUACCUAUUUUCCUUAUCAAGACCAAUAAAAUAAACUGAAACAAAAAUAAACUGAAAAAGAAGAAAACUGAAAACGAGAUAAAACUGAAACCAAAUAUAAACUGAAAGAGAAAUAAACUGAAACGAGAUAAAAUAACUGAAACCAAAUAUAAACUGAAAGAGAAAUAAACUGAAACGAGAUAAAUCUGAAAGCAAAAAUAACUGAAAUGAGAUAAAACUGAAACCGAGAUAAACUGAAAGCGGAAUAAAAAUAAAUUGCAGUAAAAGUAAAAUGGGGGGUUUUGAGAUUGAUUUGAUUUAACAACUACUGAAAGCAAUUAAACAAGGAGAUAAUUAAAAUAAAGAUGAAAUCAAUAUAAAAAAAGUCUAGUUGAAGAGAUGGAUCCACUUUGGUUGUUCGGAUUGAUCAUUGAAACUUCUGUUCCUUAGGUUGAUUCAAUAAAUUAGUUAUGGAGAUGGAAGACGCUUCUCACCACCAUGUCUCUCCUUAUGAUUAAACCAAUUAGGGAACAUCCUCUAAUUAAUUACUAAUUAACAAAUUGCCAAGGAACGUCCUUGGGCCUUAGGCAUCAAACAAUUGUUAAUUGCAUGAAGAAAGAGAGAGAUCCAAUCCUAACUACUCAAACGCAUGAGAUGUUGCUAGAUCAUACAAUUCCUUAGUUAUUACAUCAAGUGUUCUUAUGUUUGAAUAAUUUCAGCAAUUACGAACUAAAAAUUAUCCAAACUAACAAUUAAUUACCUUGCGAUCAAGAAUCAAGUGGCCAAAUUGAUCAAAACAACAAAGUAAUAAUAGAAAUCAAGCAUGAACUGUAUGAAUAUUGAAUAACCAAAAGACAAACAAUAUGUGUUCAGAUCUCACAAUCCUUUAAACAACCUUAGUUUCAACUAAUCUUCAACUAGAGUAAAGGAUUCAGCCACUCAUGGCUGAAUCAAAAACCAAAAAAUAAAGAAAGGAAGAAGAAGAGAUGGUAUCAAUUGCAAUCCCGUAGGUGUGCCCAAGUGAGAGUGUAAAAGUUGUAUGGAGGCUCCUUAUGUGUCUUUUUAUAGUUAAAAGUGCUGCCCUAGGUCAUACUUGCUUCCUAGUUAGUGAAGAGGCUGCCCAAAGUGUUGAAAAGGAAAGAAUCACAUUGCAAAUUCUCCAGAAGGAAGGAGGUGCACGGAUCAGGCUUCAAAAAAGGAAGGAUGCGCGCGGAUUGCAGAAGAGGAAGUGGAGCGCAGUCAUUGAAUGCAGAUGGGAAAGUGAAUCUGUGCAGUCUUUCCUUUUUAGGUGGAGCCUUCGUUUGAAUUUUGAAUGCUGAACGCAGAAGAGGUAAGUGCGUCUUCAUGAGAUCUUGCUGCUUAAAUAGGAAGAUAUGACUGCUGCAGUGUGUGCACAUCUUUGAACAAGGAAAGAAAGAUCUGCGAUUUGAAUUUCAAAUAAUCUUCUGACUGAGCUUUCCUUAUUUGCUUUUGCUUCUGCACUUUUCUUAUUUGAAAACUUUCCUUUUCUUUAAACUUUCCUUAUUUGGAAACUUUCCUUUUUGGCACUUUCCAUAUUUGGCACUUUUUGGCAAUUUUAAGAGCAUUUUCUCCAGAUUGUCUCUUUACACCUAAUAUUUGCAAAACAUGAUUAAAACCAUAAAAUUAAGCAGAAAAGAUGCAAAUAAACAUCAAGAACAUAAUGAGAAAGUGGACUAAAAUAUGCUCUAUCAAUGAUAUUCUAAACAAUGAUUUUUGUAGGGAUACUGACCAGGUACAGAUAGAGAGUCAGAAAGAGCCAAAACCGAAGGAAACAGUCUGCAGCAUCCAACAAGUGAAUAGCAGACAACCACAAGAAGUAUAGAAAACAGUUGCAUCACUUUAGAAUGGUGCGCAGACCAUUCCUGCACAGAAAGAGGCACCUGAAAGCCUCUCAGGCGCGUCCUUUCAGCUUCCAACGCAGAACAGCCCUCCCUUUCAGUCAGGUCCUGCGCAGAAGGAUGUUCCAGAAACCAGUUCUGCCAGACAAUCCACACAGACACCCUUGCAACACCUUUCAGAAUCUGAAGAAUGUGAGAAUGGCCUCUUUGAACAAAUCUUCCAUGCCUAAUCUGAUGAACCAUGGUACGCAGACUUGGUAAACUACCUAGCCACAGGUAACUUGCCUUCUGACAUGCCAAAGCACACCAAAGACAAGAUAAAGAAAGAUGCUAGAUACUAUGUUUGGGAUGAGCCAUAUUUGUGAAAAUAUUGUGCUGACCAAAUGAUAAAGAGAUGUAUUCCAGACCAAGAAAUAGCUUCUGUGCUUACUUUUUGUUAUUCAUAUAGUUGUGGUGGACACUUUGGUCCAAGAAAGACUGCACAUAAAAUACUUGAAAGUGGCCUGUUUUGGCCCACUAUGCUUCGAGAUACUUUUCUAUUUUGCAGAUCAUGUGCUAGGUGUCAACAGACUAGAAAUCUGAGCAACAGAAAUCAAAUGCCACAGAACCCCAUCAUGGUCUGUGAGGUAUUUGAUGUGUGGGGCAUAGACUUCAUGGGCCCAUUCCCACCAUUUUUUGGAUACACCUACAUCAUUCUUGCAGUAAACUAUGUGUCCAAAUGGGUGGAAGCUAGAGCAACAAAGACUGAUGAUGCCAAGGCGGUAGUAGACUUUGUGAAGACCAACAUCUUUGCCAGACAUGGAGUACCAAAGGCAAUCAUCAGUGAUAGAGGGACCCAUUUUUACAACAAGGUAGUGGAAAGCCUUCUCAGAAAGCACAAUGUGAUCCAUAGAACAUCCACAGCCUACCACCCUCAGACAAAUGGGCAAGCUGAAGUGUCCAACAGAGAAAUCAAGGCCAUCCUAGAAAAGACAGUGUCCCCCAACCGAAAGGACUGCAGUGCACAUUUGGAAGAUGCUUUAUAGGCCUACAGGACAGCCUACAAGACCCCAUAGGUAUGUCUCCUUACAGAUUGGUCUAUGGAAAAGCUUGUCACCUUCCAGUUGAGCUUGAACACAAGGCCUAUUGGGCUGUAAAGAAUUGCAACAUAGACCUUAAAGAAGCUGGACAACAUCGCAAGUUGCAACUGCAAGAGCUAGAGGAAAUAAGACGAGAUGCAUAUGAGAAUUCUUGGAACUACAAAGCAAAAACCAAAGCCUCCCAUGACAGUCAGCUUUCAAGAAAACAAUUUGAGGUUGGUGAUAAAGUCUUACUCUUUGACUCUCGUUUGAAAUUAUUUUCAGGAAAGCUACAGUCUAGGUGGAUUGGACCAUUCAUUGUAGAGCAUGCUUAUCCACAUGGAGUUGUAGACAUUCGCAGUGAAGAGACAUAAAAAAUCUUCAAGGUGAAUGGCCAUCGCCUGAAACCUUUCUAUGAAGGAUUUGCAGUGCAAGUAGUGGAAGAAAUUCCACUACAUCAACCAUCUCAGUCUGCCUAGUUAUCACACCAUGCACACCACACCCCAGGAGAGUACUCAGUUUCCUUUGUUCUUUAUUUUCCUUAUACAUUGAGGACAAUGCAUGAUUUAGGUGUGGGGGUGCAUAUCUCUCCUUCUUCUUCUCCUUCUCCUUUCAGUUCUGCGAAUUUCCUUUCAGUUUCUGCGAAAAUUUUUUCUUUUGAAUUGCGAUUUUUCUUUCAGUUUUUCCUUUCAGUUUUGCGAUUUUCCCUUUUGCUUCAGUUCAUGCGAUUUUUAGUUUUCUUUCAGUCUGUUUUAGUUUAUGUUUUCAAUAACACACACAACCACAACCUUCUUCUUCUUGAUGUGCUCUAUUCAAACUGAUAGACUAUGUUGAUGAGCUUUUCUUUCCAUGACCCCAUUGAUGUGAUAACUCUUUAAACUUAUAUUGAAUCAAUUGCAGUGAGUUAUAUUCAUGUUUGAGAAUUGCCUUUUGAAUUGAACCUUUGAGCUUGUCAUGGUGAAAAAUAUAUUGAUGACACUCAUUAGAGAGAAUGAAUUGAAAGUUGUGUGAAUGAACUUAACAUGACUUGAUUUAGCAAUUGGUGUUGAUUUGUCCAAAUCAUUGAUUAAAGAAAUUCAGCAAAGGCUUAGACUUCAUAAGCACAAUUGAAAAAUGUUCCAAUGGUUGAAAGACUAUGAACAGAGCUAGUAGCCACUUAGACAGGUGACCAAUUGAGUAACUGGGGGUGGGUAUCACCAAUAUGUACCUUCACAUCAAAAGGUUGGUGACUUUUUCAAGCAAAACUUAAGUGCAAAAUGCUGAAUAAAGAACUUCAAGGUAAGGGCAAAUCACUCUGAAAGCUAGAAAAAGUAUUAACUGAACAAUAACAUGUGCAUGUGUAAUCUCUCUCUUGAGGAAAACAAAUCCUAGCCAUGGUAAGUAAAGGGAAACAAGGAAAAAAGGUGAGUAAUCUUCAUGCAUAUAUUCUUCACUGCAAUGAUUCAAAAUAGGUGUCUUGAGUAAGAGCUUAAUUGGAAAUAAGGAUCAAGUAGCAAAGAAAGCUUAUUUGACUAUGUUUAUUUGCUUGAGGACAAGCAAAAGGCCAGGUGUGGGGGUAUUUAAUAGAGCAUAUUUUAGUCCACUUUAUCAUUAUGUUCUUAAUGUUUAUUUGCAUCUUUUUUGCCUAAUUUUGUGGUUUUAAUCAUGUUUCACAGAUAUUAGGUGUAACGAGACAUUUUGGAGAAAAUACCCUUAAAACUGCCUUAAAUGGAGCAAAGGAGAGCAAACCUACCAAGUUGAAAUCAAGUGAAGCUAAAUAAGGAAAGUUCUAAAUAAGGAAAAUGGCAAAUAAGGAAAGAACAUUCAGCCAAAGCAAUUUGAAAUUCAAAUUUCAAAUCUCCAAGUAGCCACCUCCUUAUUCAAGAAGCCAAAUCUCAAGUUGCCAUAAAUGAAGAAGCCAAAUAAGAAAAGUAUUUUGAAUUUCAAAUCUUCAAGAUUCAUAUUCAAAUUUUGAAUUUCAAAAUCCAGCUUAUUAAGGAAGCUAAAUCCAAAGAUCACAUGCUUGCCACCUCAUGCCUUGCACAUUCAAAAUUCAAAUUCCAAAAGAAGGCUCCACCUUCCUUAUUUGUGCAUGGGCGGCAAGGAAGGUGUGAAGAAGCUUCUUGGGCAGUUUGGGCAGCCACCUAAGAUCAACAUGGGCAGCAAGUAAGGGCAAGGACCACAACUCUUGCACAAGCCACACAUGCCACACGCCUCUCCCUUCACUUAUGCAUGGGGGGCAAGACAAGAAGUUCAAGGGCAAUUUGGGCGGCCUCUUGAAGACAGAUGGACAGCAAGGAAACCCUAGGACAGUAUCUGAAAAACAUAUUUAAGCUCUCCUUAAGCCAGCCACCCAGGACCCCGAUCCCUUCUCUUCAAUUCGGCCAAGGCAAGGAAGGCUCUCCAAGGCUCCACCUACAGUUCUUCUUCAUCUUUUGCUCUUUUCUUUUUAUUUUCUAUUUUGUUUCAGCCAUGAGUGGCUGAAACCUUUAAUUCUAGUUGAGGAUUGGUUGAAACUAAGGUUGUUUUAUGGAUUGUGAGAUCUGAACACACAUUGUUUGUCUUUUGGUUAUUCAAUACUCAUACAAUUCAUGCUUGAAAUCUAUUAUUACUUUGUUAUUUUGAUCAAAUUGGCCACUUGAUUCUUAAUUGCAAGGUAAUUAAUUGUUAGUUUGGAUAAUUUUAAGUCCGUAAUUGCUUGAAUUAUUCAAACAUAAGAACACUUGGUGUAACAACUAAGGAAUUGUAUAAUCUAGCAACAUCUCAUGUGUUUGAGUAGCUAGAAUUGGAUCUCUCUCUUUCUUCAUGCAGUUAACAAUUGUUUGAUGCCUAAGGCCCAAGGACGUUCCUUGGCAAUCUGUUAAUUAGUAAUUAAUUAGAGGAUGUUCCUUAAUUGGAUUAAUCAUAAGGAGAGACAUGGUGGUGAGAAGCGUUUUCUAUCUCCAUAACUAAUCUAUUGAAUCAAUCAAAAGAACAUAAGUUUCAAUGAUCAAUCCAAACAACCAAAGUGGAUCCAACUCUUCAACUAGACCUUUCUCAUAUUUGAUUUCUCUUUUAUUUACAUUAUUCGCUCAUUUAAUUGCUUUCAGUAGUUGCUAAUCAAAUCAAUCUCAAAACCUCCCAUUUUACUUUUAUUGCACUUUAUCUUUAUUCCGCUUUCAAUUACUCGCUUUCAGUUGCACUUUCAAUUAAUUCUCUUGGUCUUGUUGAGAAAAAUAGAUAAGUUUUCAAUUCUUUGUGGAUUCGAUCCUUUACCACUAUCUGCAGUAGUAAUAUUGUUGAUAACCGGAAAUGUUAUUUUUGACCGGCUUCGACAACCGCGAGUCAGGAGGAGAGCUCUUGCUUUGGUUUUGGGACUCUCCCAAACUAUAGCAAGAAGAGGAUUUAAAUUCCUCUUUCCUCUUUUUUUUACUAGUAGGCCCCACACAUUUUUUUUGUUUUAUUCAGGGUUUCAAAUUUAUGUUGGCAUUAGGAGUUGGGAUUUAAAUUUGUGAUUGUACAAAGCUCGUGAGUUCUAAAAUAUAAAGGGUGAAGUCCAAAAUUAAGGCUGUUUUCUAAGAAGUUUAUUUUUCAAAAAGUAACUUUCUUAUCUCUAGGUAAGUAAGUUACUUAUCUUAAAGUGAAGGAAGUAGCUUCUUCAAGUUCCUAGAAAGUUGGGAGAAAAUGCCAACCAAACAAGUUGAAUAUAUCAACUUUCUGGAACCCCAACCAAAAGGUCCAAAACUCACCAAAUGAAACAUGCCUCGAAUAUUGAGAUCGACCAUAUUUCAUAUUAUAAGUCUUGAAUUUGGUCCAUGUUCGAGUGUCAGAUUUUGGAAAUCAAUUCAUAAUCGAGUAAUUUGAAUGUAGACUAUAUUAGUUAGGAUUCAACAUGUAGAAUUCUUCUCUUCUACAAAAAAAUUUUUCUCAAUCUUUUUUUAUUAUGUUAGUUUAAAAGUAAAAUUAAAAGUUUAUUUGAUUUGUUAAUCUUAAUCAUUGUAUGAUUUUAAGAGAUCUUUUUUUAAUUAAAAUGGUAGAAAUAUUACUCAAUAGGAUUGAGAAUUAUCUCCUAAAUGAAGUACAUCUUCUAUUUAUUGUAUUAUUUAAAAAUUAAAUUAAUUUCUAAUUAAAUUAAAAUUGAAUGAUCUAAUAUUAUAAAUAGUAGUACUAUAGAGAUGUUAUUUGGUUACAUGGAGAAAGGGAACAAGAGGCUUUAGCCUAAGCUGAAAAAUAGAUAUCUUAUUCACAAUGAAUGAAUUAUUAUUUUUCAAUAAGGGGGCUAUUAUCUAUGUAAUUGAAGACACUCUUUCAUGAAUUUAAGAGAAAUCCUUAUUGAUUCUCAAAAGUUAAUGAAUUGAGUUGAUGCACAAUGUAUAUAUACACAACUGAGUUGGAGUUAGUUACAAUGGAUAACAAAGAACACGUGAGCUAAACUUAACUCUAACUAAUCUUCGGGCCACUAUUUUUAACUAAUUCUAUAUGGCUUAACACCCCUUCCCUUUCCCCCUACAAGCUGGAGAGUAUAUGUUGAUGAGUCCUAGUUUGGAAAUAAUCUAUUGAAAUAAACUAAAUAGUAGUGGCUUAGUGUAGACAUUAGCUAACUAGGUAGCUGAAGGAAAAUGUAGCAAUUUAAUAAGGCCUACAAGUAACUUUUCUUAGAUCAAAUGGGAGUCUAUCUCUAUAUGCUUUGUUUGUUCAUGAAAUGUUGGAUUAAUUGUAAUAUGAAGGGUUGAUUUGUCGUCAUAAUAGAGAAGAGCAGGUUGAGAAUGGCUAACCUGAAAAUCUUGAACCAAAUAGGUUACCAUUGAAUUUCACAAGUGGUUGCAGCCAAGGCUAAUACCCAGCUUUUGAGGAAGAUCUUGAAACACAAUUUUGUUUCUUAGCCUUCCAAGAGAUUAAGGAAGCGCUAAGAAAUAUGCAAAAACCUGUGAUGGACAUUAUGGAAUCAAUGCAACCUACCUAAUCUAAACCACUGAAGCCUUUUAGCUACAGAUCUGAGUUUGCUGAUGAUAACCCAAAGGGCUUGACAAUAAAUCUACCCACAUAAAGCCCAGUCAUAUAAACCCAUAAGGCUAAACAAACCCGAACUAAGUAAGUAGAGCCCAAAUAUCAUGUAAGCAAGCAUACAACCCAUACACGCCCGAUAUAGGGCAGUGAGAUAGCUCGCCCAUAAGCCCCAUAAUCAAGGAAAGGAGGGCCCACUCCAGAUUCACCUGGCACACACACCAGACUAGCCGCAUGCACACAAAGAAUCUUCAAUAUAAAGGAAUAUAAUAGGAAUGAAGAGGGGAUCCAUGAUUUGAUCGCAAACAUAGCUUUAAGCACCAAAAAAACCCUACCAUUAAAAUUUUAUUGACUCCUCAAAGUAUCAGCUAGAAAGAAUAAGCUUGCACUAGGAGAACCUUUUAUGUAUCUCAAUACUCAAUGAACUGCUUGCAAAUGGGAAAAAGUGGGACAGUAGAAAUUGAUUGAGUUAUUGAACAAUAAAGGCAAUGUCAAGUCUUGUGGAUGUUAAAUACAACAACUUCCCUAUUAGCUUCCUAUAUUGAUGAAUAUCUUCCAAUGGAGUGCGAGUUGACUUACUUAAUUUCAACUUGCAAUCCAUAGGAGUGUGCUGAUUUAGAUUCUAAGAAACUAGUGUUAUUCACUAUGUCAAGUGCAUACUUCCUUUGGUUAAGAGAUAUACCAGUAUCCUUUUAGCCACUUCAAGUCACAAAAAAAAUUUUGAGUUUCCUAAAGUCUUCUAUUUUAAACUGUUGCUGGUCUAUAGAAUUACAUCAUUUACAUAGACCAGCAACACAGUGAUGCCAUCUCUAUGUGUUUUGACAAAUAAUAAGUAAUUUGAAAUAAACUGUUUGUAUCCUAGACAAAUGAGAGCAGUAGAGAGUUUUGAAUACCAAUGCCUACUGGCUUGCUUAAUGCCAUAUAGUGAUUUCUUCAAAUGACUAGCUUGAUUGUGUUUAGAGCUAUGAAAUCCUUAAGAAAGUUCAUGUAUACUUUUUCAUGAAUAUUUCCAUAUAAAAAAAGCAUUAUUAAUAUCAAGCUAAUAUAAAUACCAUUUGUUAGAAGCUGCCAAAGCUAACAAGAGUCAAAUUGUAAUAAUUGCCAUAGGGGAGAAUGUAUCAAAGUAAUCCACUCCUUUUGUUUGGGUGCACCAUUUGGCUACUAAGCAUGCCGUGUACCUCUCUAUGGAACCAUCAGCUUUGUAUUUUAUCUUAAACACUCAUUUGUAGUCUAUAGGUGUAACUCCAUUAGGUAGGUCAGUGACUUCCUAAGUAUGAUUCUAUUCUAAAGUUAUAAUUUCAGCUUUCAUAGCUUGUUUUUAGCAAUCAUGCUUAAUAGCUUGAUUGUAUUUCUUUGGCUCAGUGGUAACAUAAAUGGAUAAAGUGAAGUGUUUAUGCUUAAGGGAAAGAUGAUCAUAAGAGAGGAUAGAAGAAUGGUGAUGUGGAGAGGAUACAUUUAAGUAGGUUAAAGAAACAGUUGAGUUAUGUAUGAGAUUACAAUGAUAAUCCUGUAGGUAAGAAGGUAGUUUUCUAGGUCGAAAGGAACGUCUUGUAGAUAUAUCAAUCUGUGUUGGUGAAGCAAUAUUGGUAGGGGGAGAAGAGUCAUAUGUAUCAUCAUAGUUUGGAAUGGUAUGAUCUUGAGGUAAAGGCAUUAGUGUUGGUGUAUUAAUGUCAUGAAAUGGAAACAAAUGUUCAUAUAAGAGUACAUGUCUAUAGAAAAAAAUAGAUCUAGAUUGUAAAUCUAGAAGUACAUAUCCUUUGAUUGCAUGCUUAAAACCUAUAAAGACAUAAGUCAAACUUGGAUCUGCUGGCAUUAAGUGUUGAGUCAAAGCAUAAAGACCCAAAAGCCUUCAAAUCAUCAUAAGUAGGUGGAUGAGAGAAUAACAACUCAUAAGGAGAUUUAUUCUCAAUGAGAACUAGGAAUUCUAUUGAUCAAGUGAAUCGAAUGAAGAAUAGAAUAAGACCAAUACUCAAGAGGCAAUUUAGAUUGGAACAUAAGAGAUCUGAUAACAUUUAACAAGUACUGAUGUUUUCUCUUUACUGUCCCCUUCUGUUAGGGAGUUUCUACAUAGGACCUUUGAUAGAUUAAUCCUUUAGCAGCAUAAAAGAUAGGCAUAUUAAAUUCCACAACAUUAUCACUUCUAAUGAUUUUAAUUUUAGUAGAAAAUUGGGUUUCUAUAAGGUUGAAAAAUUCUGAACAUAAGCUUUUGCAUAUGCUUUAGUUUUCAAAAGAAAGAUCCAAAUGUACUUUGUAAAAUCAUACAUAAAAAAAA
This 42499-nucleotide long non-coding RNA is filed under the name Manihot esculenta (cassava). Its description in RNAcentral is "long non-coding RNA (MESC_LNC002927)". The record is from RNAcentral. Lineage: Eukaryota; Viridiplantae; Streptophyta; Magnoliopsida; Malpighiales; Euphorbiaceae.